AUAAACAUAUGUUAAUUUUUAAACUUUUUGGUUUCAAACCAAAAGAUUUUUGUUUAUA
Molecule: transfer RNA, 58 nt
Filed under: Aphelenchus avenae
Lineage: Eukaryota; Metazoa; Nematoda; Chromadorea; Rhabditida; Aphelenchidae
Description: tRNA-Trp
Source: RNAcentral